AGUAGCGGCGAGCGAACGGGGAAGAGUCCAUAGCCGAAUCCUUCGCCCAGAGGGGCGCGGGACAUGUGGCGUAUGGGAGUCGGCGUUCUUGGCUUUUAUCGGGCGGUGCAAGUUCCCAUGAGAGGGGCUCGCUUCCGGAGCGGGUGCUAGGCCCGUACCGCCGCCCAUUAAUUGCCAAGUUGCCGGUCUCCCGGGAGUCGGGUUGCUUGAGAGUGCAGCCCAAAGCGGGUGGUAAACUCCACCUAAGACUAAAUAUGCCCGAGAGUCCGAUAGUAAACAAGUACCGUGAGGGAAAGUUGAAAAGCACUUUGAAGAGAGAGUUCAAGAGUACGUGAAACCGUUCAGAGUAAAACGGGUGGGGGCUUCGAAGUCCUUUGUCGGCGGUGCACUCAGGUCGGAACCUUUUCCUUCUUAUAACUCCCGGUUGGCCUACAAGCGGGUAUCCGGGUUAUGAUUCGGAAUCGGGGCCGUACCGCACUUGCACCCCCGUCUAYCAGGGCGUCSCGAUCGGUCRAGGGGCCGUYGAAGGGAACGGACCGAAAGKUAMCCRMCCAAUUUYUUUGSGAAAUUGUYGGCCGUUACAGACGGACCGAGAAUYCCGRCGGGUYUUYCUGGCCRRUUCAAAAAAWUGAAACSUUYCUUYCCMUYGAACUUGGGAACGGCAUUUUUUAUAAAAUGCUGCGGCGGAACCGGAGAUUGGCGGCGAGUAGGUCUGCUUCCCACCCGACCCGUCUUGAAACACGGACCAAGGAGUCUAGGGCGCGUGCGAGUCCGAGGGUCUUGAUUAGGCCUCGAGGGCGCAACGAAAGCGAGCGAGUUGGGAUCCCUUUAACCUGGUUGAAGGGCGCACCAACGGCCCGUCCGAGCCGGCCUCGGCUGGGCGGAGCAAGAGCACGCUCCCUGGGACCCGAAAGAUGGUGACCUAUGCCCGGGCAGGACGAAGCCAGAGGAAACUCUGGUGGAGGUCCGGAGCGGUUCUGACGUGCAAAUCGAUCGUCAGACCCGGGUAUA
Molecule: ribosomal RNA, 1011 nt
Filed under: Titanatemnus sp. JM-2008
Lineage: Eukaryota; Metazoa; Arthropoda; Arachnida; Pseudoscorpiones; Atemnidae
Description: partial 28S ribosomal RNA
Rfam family: Eukaryotic large subunit ribosomal RNA
Source: RNAcentral